Molecule: long non-coding RNA, 605 nt
Organism: Neofelis nebulosa (Clouded leopard)
Lineage: Eukaryota; Metazoa; Chordata; Mammalia; Carnivora; Felidae
Exons: 2
Source: RefSeq, a predicted model, not a curated record
GGUUGUCUUGUGCUCAGAACACACUGUCAAUGGAAAAGGAAAUUAAGGAGAAGCAAAUGGCUAGAGAAAGACCCAGGCUAGCCCAAAAGGUCUCUUUAAUCAUAAACCUGAACGGCAUGACGGAGUAGUCCUGGUUUGAGGAGCCAUGGUGCGGCGCUCAGCGGAGAGAAGGAGGGAAAGGGGACAAAAGUGCUUUCGUGCUAUCGCGGACAGGAGGGAACCCUGUCAGCAGGAACCAAAGACCGGGCUAACGGCUAACGGAGCAAUGUUCCUCAGGACCUGUUACUCCGGCAAACGCACCCAGUCAAGCUCGCAGGAAGAGAGAUGGGGGCAAGGACUUAGAUACAAGCAGGAAAAUCAGUCGCCUGGCUGGUGCAGAAACAUCAAACGAACUCCUUGCCUUAAACUUUGCAUAACUGAUUGUGCCCGCUACGGUGCCUCAGAUGGACCCCACUUACAGCCUGAUACAACACUAAGAAAAUUUUCUGGAAGCCCCCGGCUCAAUUCUGGAACAGCACAAGACCUAAAAACAGGUACCACAAGAUCAGAGAGACAUUAACGUGACAUCACUUCUUUCUUCUACGAUAAUAAAAUUAAAAACCGCC